AGUGAACGCUGGCGGUAGGCCUAACACAUGCAAGUCGAACGGCCGCACAGUAAGAGCUUGCUCUUACGGGUGGCGAGUGGCGGACGGGUGAGGAAUACAUCGGAAUCUACUUUUUCGUGGGGGAUAACGUAGGGAAACUUACGCUAAUACCGCAUACGACCUACGGGUGAAAGCAGGGGAUCUUCGGACCUUGCGCGAUUGAAUGAGCCGAUGUCGGAUUAGCUAGUUGGCGGGGUGAAGGCCCACCAAGGCGACGAUCCGUAGCUGGUCUGAGAGGAUGAUCAGCCACACUGGAACAGAGACACGGUCCAGACUCCUACGGGAGGCAGCAGUGGGGAAUAGUGGACAAUGGGCGCAAGCCUGAUCCAGCCAUACCGCGUGGGUGAAGAAGGCCUUCGGGUUGUAAAGCCCUUUUGUUGGGAAAGAAAAGCAGCAGGUUAAUACCCCGCUGUUCUGACGGUACCCAAAGAAUAAGCACCGGCUAACUUCGUG
Molecule: ribosomal RNA, 492 nt
Filed under: uncultured bacterium
Lineage: Bacteria
Description: partial 16S ribosomal RNA
Rfam family: Bacterial small subunit ribosomal RNA
Source: RNAcentral